This 468-nucleotide ribosomal RNA is filed under the name uncultured bacterium. RNAcentral describes it as "partial 16S ribosomal RNA". It matches the Rfam family "Bacterial small subunit ribosomal RNA", at positions 28 to 507 of the family's 1533-position model. The record is from RNAcentral.
GACGAACGCUGGCGGCGUGCUUAACACAUGCAAGUCGAACGGAAAGGCCCUGCUUUUGUGGGGUGCUCGAGUGGCGAACGGGUGAGUAACACGUGAGUAACCUGCCCUUGACUUUGGGAUAACUUCAGGAAACUGGGGCUAAUACCGGAUAGGAGCUCCUGCUGCAUGGUGGGGGUUGGAAAGUUUCGGCGGUUGGGGAUGGACUCGCGGCUUAUCAGCUUGUUGGUGGGGUAGUGGCUUACCAAGGCUUUGACGGGUAGCCGGCCUGAGAGGGUGACCGGCCACAUUGGGACUGAGAUACGGCCCAGACUCCUACGGGAGGCAGCAGUGGGGAAUAUUGCACAAUGGGCGGAAGCCUGAUGCAGCAACGCCGCGUGCGGGAUGACGGCCUUCGGGUUGUAAACAGCUUUCGACUGUGACGAAGCGUGAGUGACGGUAAUGGGUAAAGAAGCACCGGCUAACUACGUG